GGGCGAUUAGCUCAGCUGGUAGAGCGGCUCGUUUACACCGAGUAGGUCGGCGGUUCGAACCCGUCAUCGCCCACCA
RNAcentral lists this transfer RNA (76 nucleotides) under Asticcacaulis biprosthecium C19. RNAcentral describes it as "Asticcacaulis biprosthecum C19 tRNA-Val". It matches the Rfam family "tRNA". From Rfam's summary of the family: Transfer RNA (tRNA) molecules are approximately 80 nucleotides in length. Their secondary structure includes four short double-helical elements and three loops (D, anti-codon, and T loops). Further hydrogen bonds mediate the characteristic L-shaped molecular structure. tRNAs have two regions of fundamental functional importance: the anti-codon, which is responsible for specific mRNA codon recognition, and the 3' end, to which the tRNAs corresponding amino acid is attached (by aminoacyl-tRNA synthetases). tRNAs cope with the degeneracy of the genetic code in two manners: having more than one tRNA (with a specific anti-codon) for a particular amino acid; and 'wobble' base-pairing, i.e. permitting non-standard base-pairing at the 3rd anti-codon position. Lineage: Bacteria; Pseudomonadati; Pseudomonadota; Alphaproteobacteria; Caulobacterales; Caulobacteraceae. RNAcentral also lists the same sequence under 2 other names. The record is from RNAcentral.